This 465-nucleotide ribosomal RNA is filed under the name uncultured bacterium. RNAcentral describes it as "partial 16S ribosomal RNA". It matches the Rfam family "Bacterial small subunit ribosomal RNA", at positions 28 to 506 of the family's 1533-position model. The record is from RNAcentral.
GAUGAACGCUGGCGGCGUGCUUAACACAUGCAAGUCGAACGGAAAGGCCCAAGCUUGCUUGGGUGCUCGAGUGGCGAACAGGUGAGUAACACGUGGGUGAUCUGCCCUGCACUUUGGGAUAAGCCUGGGAAACUGGGUCUAAUACCGGAUAGGACCAUCGUUUAGUGUCGGUGGUGGAAAGUUUUUCGGUGUGGGAUGAGCUCGCGGCCUAUCAGCUUGUUGGUGGGGUAAUGGCCUACCAAGGCGUCGACGGGUAGCCGGCCUGAGAGGGUGUACGGCCACAUUGGGACUGAGAUACGGCCCAGACUCCUACGGGAGGCAGCAGUGGGGAAUAUUGCACAAUGGGCGCAAGCCUGAUGCAGCGACGCCGCGUGGGGGAUGACGGCCUUCGGGUUGUAAACUCCUUUCGCCAAGGACGAAGCGUUUUGUGACGGUACUUGGAGAAGAAGCACCGGCGAACUACGU